Etheostoma spectabile (orangethroat darter) is the source of this 206-nucleotide long non-coding RNA. RefSeq lists it as uncharacterized. Lineage: Eukaryota; Metazoa; Chordata; Actinopteri; Perciformes; Percidae. The record is from RefSeq and is a predicted model, not a curated record. The transcript is spliced from 3 exons.
AACUGCAACAGCACCCGAGAUCCGCCCACAAAGCUACUUGCGUUUGGCGUUUGAUAGUUGCGUUUCAGAUCGUUAAAAUGAGGCCCUUGACUCCAAAUGAGCAUGAUGACGCCAGCCACUGCUUGUUUGUCUGGUGAGUAAAGUGAAAAACUGAAUGGAAGUAGGAAUUAGAAUUUACUUAAUAUAUAAAAAAUAAAAAAGGAAUA